AAGUCGUAACAAGGUUUCCGUAGGUGAACCUGCGGAAGGAUCAUUAACAAUGAAUCUCUUCAUUAACACUGUGUACUGUCGGGUGGAAGCCCCGUCUGCGUAAAACCAGGCUGAUUUCCGCCCAAACCCCAAACACUAUAACUUUAAUCAGAGUCAAAUAACUUUUGUUAUACAGACAACUUUUAGCAACGGAUCUCUAGGUUCUC
This 206-nucleotide unclassified non-coding RNA is filed under the name fungal sp. RNAcentral's name for it is "partial internal transcribed spacer region". The stretch from base 1 to 46 matches the Rfam family "Eukaryotic small subunit ribosomal RNA", at positions 1786 to 1831 of the family's 1831-position model. Lineage: Eukaryota; Fungi. The record is from RNAcentral.